GUUAGUGUGAGGCCAGACUCCAGCCCCAUCAUCACCUGGACACAGAUAUCAGCCCCAAGGAGAUCAGCAGCUCAGAGGGAGACAGAGAGAGACCACGAGGAGGGAAUUCACCCCCGUCAGCAUCUGGCCACAGACAGCACCAAGGAUAAAUGUCAAAUGUGAGAAAGAAGGAAAGUCAUUGGACACGCAAGCCUGAUGGUAUUGUCUGGUAGAUCACGUCUGGAUUCCCUGAUCACCUUGUAAACGUUGUUCUACAAUAAACAUAAAUAAGGCUCAACACCUGUCACAAAACUCACCACCAGCUCGGCUGCACUUAGCAGCAAUGAAACGCCUUGUUGGAACAUUGCUGGGAAAGAGGAAACAAAACUCUGAAACACCGAGACAUGAAAAACCUGAUGAAUCAAUGAAAUGGUCACCAUCACCACAACCAAACACAUCCACAACUGGCGGGAAUGAAACAGCGAGUACAUCUGCAGUUACCCAAACACAUUGUGAUAUGGUUUCAAAUCCCAACCAGUGUUCCAGCAUUUUGGGUGCGUCGAGUGAGAUGGCUUCCAAUGAAACUGAACCGAUAGCCAAUGCACAGGGCGAUGCGAUGAUCUGCGGUGUGCAUCAGACACCCGGCAACACACCAGAAGGCAAUGUCUUCUCUUUACCUGACUUUGAGGAAAGUCUUAAAGAGACGAUAACGAA
Long non-coding RNA from Callorhinchus milii (elephant shark), 693 nucleotides. RefSeq lists it as uncharacterized. The record is from RefSeq and is a predicted model, not a curated record. The transcript is spliced from 3 exons. Lineage: Eukaryota; Metazoa; Chordata; Chondrichthyes; Chimaeriformes; Callorhinchidae.